Molecule: ribosomal RNA, 1361 nt
Filed under: uncultured bacterium
Lineage: Bacteria
Description: bacterial SSU rRNA
Rfam family: Bacterial small subunit ribosomal RNA
Source: RNAcentral
AUUGAACCCUUGCGGCAGGCCUAACACAUGCAAGUCGAGCGGUAGCACAGAGAGCUUGCUCUCGGGUGACGAGCGGCGGACGGGUGAGUAAUGUCUGGGAAACUGCCUGAUGGAGGGGGAUAACUACUGGAAACGGUAGCUAAUACCGCAUAACGUCGCAAGACCAAAGUGGGGGACCUUCGGGCCUCAUGCCAUCAGAUGUGCCCAGAUGGGAUUAGCUAGUAGGUGGGGUAAUGGCUCACCUAGGCGACGAUCCCUAGCUGGUCUGAGAGGAUGACCAGCCACACUGGAACUGAGACACGGUCCAGACUCCUACGGGAGGCAGCAGUGGGGAAUAUUGCACAAUGGGCGCAAGCCUGAUGCAGCCAUGCCGCGUGUGUGAAGAAGGCCUUCGGGUUGUAAAGCACUUUCAGCGGGGAGGAAGGCGGUGAGGUUAAUAACCUCAUCGAUUGACGUUACCCGCAGAAGAAGCACCGGCUAACUCCGUGCCAGCAGCCGCGGUAAUACGGAGGGUGCAAGCGUUAAUCGGAAUUACUGGGCGUAAAGCGCACGCAGGCGGUCUGUCAAGUCGGAUGUGAAAUCCCCGGGCUCAACCUGGGAACUGCAUUCGAAACUGGCAGGCUAGAGUCUUGUAGAGGGGGGUAGAAUUCCAGGUGUAGCGGUGAAAUGCGUAGAGAUCUGGAGGAAUACCGGUGGCGAAGGCGGCCCCCUGGACAAAGACUGACGCUCAGGUGCGAAAGCGUGGGGAGCAAACAGGAUUAGAUACCCUGGUAGUCCACGCCGUAAACGAUGUCGAUUUGGAGGUUGUGCCCUUGAGGCGUGGCUUCCGGAGCUAACGCGUUAAAUCGACCGCCUGGGGAGUACGGCCGCAAGGUUAAAACUCAAAUGAAUUGACGGGGGCCCGCACAAGCGGUGGAGCAUGUGGUUUAAUUCGAUGCAACGCGAAGAACCUUACCUGGUCUUGACAUCCACAGAACUUUCCAGAGAUGGAUUGGUGCCUUCGGGAACUGUGAGACAGGUGCUGCAUGGCUGUCGUCAGCUCGUGUUGUGAAAUGUUGGGUUAAGUCCCGCAACGAGCGCAACCCUUAUCCUUUGUUGCCAGCGGUCCGGCCGGGAACUCAAAGGAGACUGCCAGUGAUAAACUGGAGGAAGGUGGGGAUGACGUCAAGUCAUCAUGGCCCUUACGACCAGGGCUACACACGUGCUACAAUGGCAUAUACAAAGAGAAGCGACCUCGCGAGAGCAAGCGGACCUCAUAAAGUAUGUCGUAGUCCGGAUUGGAGUCUGCAACUCGACUCCAUGAAGUCGGAAUCGCUAGUAAUCGUAGAUCAGAAUGCUACGGUGAAUACGUUCCCGGGCAU